This 1060-nucleotide long non-coding RNA is filed under the name Sorghum bicolor (sorghum). RNAcentral's name for it is "long non-coding RNA (SBIC_LNC005866)". The record is from RNAcentral. Lineage: Eukaryota; Viridiplantae; Streptophyta; Magnoliopsida; Poales; Poaceae.
AGGCCUUGUUUAGUUCCAAAAUAUUUUGCAAAAUCGACACUGUAGCAUUUUCGUUUGUAUUUGACAAAUAUUAUCCAAUCAUGGACUAACUAGGCUCAAAAGAUUCGUCUCGUCAAUUUCGACUAAACUGUGUAAUUAAUUUUUAUUUUUGUCUAUAUUUAAUACUUCAUGCAUGUAUCUAAAGAUUCGAUGUGACGGGGAAUCUGAAAAAUUUUGCAAAAUUUUUUGGGAACUAAACAAGGCCUAGGGAACUAAACAAGAUAGCGAAGGAGAACUUUGCUGUUCAUUCGCAGUGCUAGCCACUUCAAACUCACACCUAUAAAUCCUGCCGAGUUUCAUUCUCGCAGUGCUAGCCACUUCAUACUCUUCAUACAUUGUAAUUUUUCACCGUCCGAUCUUGCCCACUGAAUAAAUUAAAUAUGCACAUUAAAUUUCCUUUUACAACCUCUAGAACCCAUGGAAGAGAAAAGAAACAAGAUAUCCUACUAAAAUUACAGCUAGCUAGGACGUACACUAGCUAUCUGCAGCUGCAUCAAUCUCCUCCGAUCCGCGUCCCUCAUUGUAGCCAAUUAAAAGCUGCUGGCUUGCCCGGCGUAGAUCGGUGGCGCAGAUCGAUGAUGAUGAGAUGAAUCCUCGAUGCCUGCUGCCGGCCACCCGCAGCCGAUCGAGUUAAACCAACCAUGGAUCAUAUGUGCCCACGCAUGACCAGCCAUAUCACUGCACGGAUCGGAGUGAUCCGUAGAUAGCAAUAGCGUCAUCGUCGUCGCGGGUGGGAAGGAAAGCGAGGGAAAGCAGCGAGAGCAGCAGCACGACAGGGACGACCAGCAGCAGCGACGGCGGUGGCGGCAGGGAAGAAGGGAGCAGCAGCGGGAGCAGCAGAAGCACCACGGCCGCCGUCGCGAGGAGCAGCAUCGUCACCAUGCUUCGUUCCAUCGCUGGCAAGAGUGGCUAGUUGCUAGAAGAAGAAGAAGAAGAAGAAGAAGAAGAAGCAGCUGUCAAUUGAUGGGCAUGUUGUGUACUGUGCAUGCCCUGAGAGGCUGAGACUAAGAGAUUAGAUUAG